This 365-nucleotide ribosomal RNA is filed under the name Encephalartos ferox. RNAcentral's name for it is "eukaryotic LSU rRNA". The stretch from base 1 to 190 matches the Rfam family "Eukaryotic large subunit ribosomal RNA", at positions 761 to 954 of the family's 3401-position model. The record is from RNAcentral. Lineage: Eukaryota; Viridiplantae; Streptophyta; Cycadopsida; Cycadales; Zamiaceae.
CCGACCGACCCCGAUCUUCUGUGAAGGGUUCGAGUCCGAGCAUACCUGUUGGGACCCGAAAGAUGGUGAACUAUGCCUGAGCAGGGUGAAGCCAGAGGAAACUCUGGUGGAGGCCCGUAGCGAUACUGACGUGCAAAUCGUUCGUCUGACUUGGGUAUAGGGGCGAAAGACUAAUCGAACCGUCUAACGGCAACGUUAGGGAAUCCGGUGACGUCGGCGGGGGCCCCGGGAAGCGUUAUCUUUUCCUUUUAACAGCUUGCCCACCCUGAAAUCGGUUCAAUCGGAGAUAGGGUCCAGCGGCUGGAAGAGCACCGCACGUCCUKCGGUGUCCGGUGCCCUCGGCGGCCCUUGAAAAUCUGGAGCCA